Molecule: transfer RNA, 67 nt
Filed under: Cotesia glomerata
Lineage: Eukaryota; Metazoa; Arthropoda; Insecta; Hymenoptera; Braconidae
Description: tRNA-Thr
Rfam family: tRNA
About the family: Transfer RNA (tRNA) molecules are approximately 80 nucleotides in length. Their secondary structure includes four short double-helical elements and three loops (D, anti-codon, and T loops). Further hydrogen bonds mediate the characteristic L-shaped molecular structure. tRNAs have two regions of fundamental functional importance: the anti-codon, which is responsible for specific mRNA codon recognition, and the 3' end, to which the tRNAs corresponding amino acid is attached (by aminoacyl-tRNA synthetases). tRNAs cope with the degeneracy of the genetic code in two manners: having more than one tRNA (with a specific anti-codon) for a particular amino acid; and 'wobble' base-pairing, i.e. permitting non-standard base-pairing at the 3rd anti-codon position.
Source: RNAcentral
GGAUAGCUUAACUUGGUAGAGCCUUUGGCGCGUAACCGAACGAUCCGGGUUCGAGUCCCGGUCGCCA